RNAcentral lists this ribosomal RNA (253 nucleotides) under uncultured bacterium. RNAcentral describes it as "partial 16S ribosomal RNA". It matches the Rfam family "Bacterial small subunit ribosomal RNA", at positions 524 to 776 of the family's 1533-position model. The record is from RNAcentral.
UACAGAGGGGGCAAGCGUUAUUCGGAAUUAUUGGGCGUAAAGGGCGCGUAGGCGGCUUUGCAAGUGACGGGUGAAAUCCCUCGGCUUAACCGAGGAGCUGCCUGUCAAACUGCAUGGCUUGAGACCGGGAGAGGUGAGUGGAAUUCCCAGUGUAGCGGUGAAAUGCGUAGAUAUUGGGAGGAACACCAGUGGCGAAGGCGGCUCACUGGACCGGUACUGACGCUGAUGCGCGAAAGCGUGGGGAGCAAACAGG